AUUGAACGCUGGCGGCAGGCCUAACACAUGCAAGUCGAACGGUAACAGGAAGCAGCUUGCUGCUUUGCUGACGAGUGGCGGACGGGUGGGUAAUGUCUGGGAAACUGCCUGAUGGAGGGGGAUAACUACUGGAAACGGUAGCUAAUACCGCAUAAAGUCGCAAGACCAAAGAGGGGGACCUUCGGGCCUCUUGCCAUCGGAUGUGCCCAGAUGGGAUUAGCUAGUAGGUGGGGUAACGGCUCACCUAGGCGACGAUCCCUAGCUGGUCUGAGAGGAUGACCAGCCACACUGGAACUGAGACACGGUCCAGACUCCUACGGGAGGCAGCAGUGGGGAAUAUUGCACAAUGGGCGCAAGCCUGAUGCAGCCAUGCCGCGUGUAUGAAGAAGGCCUUCGGGUUGUAAAGUACUUUCAGCGGGGAGGAAGGGAGUAAAGUUAAUACCUUUGCUCAUUGACGUUACCCGCAGAAGAAGCACCGGCUAACUCCGUG
Molecule: ribosomal RNA, 490 nt
Filed under: uncultured bacterium
Lineage: Bacteria
Description: partial 16S ribosomal RNA
Rfam family: Bacterial small subunit ribosomal RNA
Source: RNAcentral